GUGCCAGCCGCCGCGGUAAUACGGAGGAGGCAAGCGUUAUCCGGAAUGAUUGGGCGUAAAGCGUUCGUAGGUGGCUAUUCAAGUCUGCUGUCAAAGACAGAAGCUCAACUUCUGAAAGGCAGUGGAAACUGAGUAGCUGGAGUGCGGUAGGGGCAGAGGGAAUUCCCGGUGUAGCGGUGAAAUGCGUAGAGAUCGGGAAGAACACCGGUGGCGAAAGCGCUCUGCUGGGCCGCAACUGACACUGAGGGACGAAAGCUAGGGGAGCGAAUGGGAUUAGAUACCCCCGUAGUCC
This 292-nucleotide ribosomal RNA is filed under the name uncultured bacterium. RNAcentral describes it as "partial 16S ribosomal RNA". It matches the Rfam family "Bacterial small subunit ribosomal RNA", at positions 505 to 796 of the family's 1533-position model. The record is from RNAcentral.